RNAcentral lists this ribosomal RNA (497 nucleotides) under uncultured bacterium. RNAcentral's name for it is "partial 16S ribosomal RNA". It matches the Rfam family "Bacterial small subunit ribosomal RNA", at positions 28 to 507 of the family's 1533-position model. The record is from RNAcentral.
GAUGAACGCUGGCGGCGUGCCUAAUACAUGCAAGUCGAGCGAACAGACGAGGAGCUUGCUCCUCUGACGUUAGCGGCGGACGGGUGAGUAACACGUGGAUAACCUACCUAUAAGACUGGGAUAACUUCGGGAAACCGGAGAUAAUACCGGAUAAUAUAUUGAACCGCAUGGUUCAAUAGUGAAAGACGGUUUUGCUGUCACUGAUAGAUGGAUCCGCGCCGCAUUAGCUAGUUGGUAAGGUAACGGCUUACCAAGGCAACGAUGCGUAGCCGACCUGAGAGGGUGAUCGGCCACACUGGAACUGAGACACGGUCCAGACUCCUACGGGAGGCAGCAGUAGGGAAUCUUCCGCAAUGGGCGAAAGCUUGACGGAGCAACGCCGCGUGAGUGAUGAAGGUCUUCGGAUCGUAAAACUCUGUUAUUAGGGAAGAACAAAUGUGUAAGUAACUAUGCACGUCUUGACGGUACCUAAUCAGAAAGCCACGGCUAACUACGUG